This 302-nucleotide ribosomal RNA is filed under the name uncultured bacterium. RNAcentral's name for it is "bacterial SSU rRNA". It matches the Rfam family "Bacterial small subunit ribosomal RNA", at positions 32 to 324 of the family's 1533-position model. The record is from RNAcentral.
AAUCAACGCUGGCGGCGUGCCUCAGACAUGCAAGUCGAACGAUUAAAGCUCUCUUCGGAGAGUGUAUAGAGUGGCGCACGGGUGAGUAACACGUAAGUAAUCUACCUUUGAGUGGGGAAUAACAGUCGGAAACGACUGCUAAUACCGCAUAAUGCAGCGGCAUCGCAAGAUGACAGUUGUUAAAGGAGCAAUCCGCUUAAAGAGGAGCUUGCGGCAGAUUAGCUUGUUGGUAAGGUAACGGCUUACCAAGGCUACGAUCUGUAUCCGGUCUAAGAGGACGGUCGGACACACUGACACUGAAU